Molecule: transfer RNA, 85 nt
Filed under: Aromatoleum aromaticum EbN1
Lineage: Bacteria; Pseudomonadati; Pseudomonadota; Betaproteobacteria; Rhodocyclales; Rhodocyclaceae
Also listed under: 1 other name
Description: tRNA-Leu (TAA) (tRNA-Leu-TAA-1-1)
Rfam family: tRNA
About the family: Transfer RNA (tRNA) molecules are approximately 80 nucleotides in length. Their secondary structure includes four short double-helical elements and three loops (D, anti-codon, and T loops). Further hydrogen bonds mediate the characteristic L-shaped molecular structure. tRNAs have two regions of fundamental functional importance: the anti-codon, which is responsible for specific mRNA codon recognition, and the 3' end, to which the tRNAs corresponding amino acid is attached (by aminoacyl-tRNA synthetases). tRNAs cope with the degeneracy of the genetic code in two manners: having more than one tRNA (with a specific anti-codon) for a particular amino acid; and 'wobble' base-pairing, i.e. permitting non-standard base-pairing at the 3rd anti-codon position.
Source: RNAcentral
GCCGGGGUGGUGAAAUCGGUAUACACAGCGGAUUUAAAAUCCGCCGCCUUCGGGCUUACGGGUUCAAGUCCCGUCCCCGGCACCA